UACGUAGGGGGCAAGCGUUGUCCGGAAUUACUGGGCGUAAAGGGCGCGUAGGCGGCACGGCAAGUCAGGAGUGAAAGCCCGGGGCUCAACCCCGGAAUGUCUUUUGAAACUGCCGAGCUAGAGUGCGGAAGAGGCAACUGGAAUUCCCAGUGUAGCGGUGAAAUGCGUAGAUAUUGGGAAGAACACCUGAGGCGAAGGCGGGUUGCUGGGCCGACACUGACGCUGAGGCGCGAAAGCCAGGGGAGCGAACGGG
This 253-nucleotide ribosomal RNA is filed under the name uncultured bacterium. Its description in RNAcentral is "partial 16S ribosomal RNA". It matches the Rfam family "Bacterial small subunit ribosomal RNA", at positions 524 to 776 of the family's 1533-position model. The record is from RNAcentral.